RNAcentral lists this ribosomal RNA (508 nucleotides) under uncultured bacterium. RNAcentral describes it as "bacterial SSU rRNA". It matches the Rfam family "Bacterial small subunit ribosomal RNA", at positions 791 to 1308 of the family's 1533-position model. The record is from RNAcentral.
CAGUCCACGCCGUAAACGAUGGACACUAGUUGUUGGGUGUAAGCUCAGUGACUAAGCGAAAGUGAUAAGUGUCCCACCUGGGGAGUACGGUCGCAAGAUUGAAACUCAAAGGAAUUGACGGGGGCCCGCACAAGCGGUGGAGCAUGUGGUUUAAUUCGAUGAUACGCGAGGAACCUUACCAGGGCUCAAAUGUAGAGUGACAGGGGUAGAGAUACCUUUUUCUUCGGACACUUUACAAGGUGCUGCAUGGUUGUCGUCAGCUCGUGCCGUGAGGUGUCAGGUUAGUCCUAUAACGAGCGCAACCCCUACCGUUAGUUGCCAGCAUGUUAUGAUGGGGACUCUAGCGGGACUGCCGGUGCAAACCGAGAGGAAGGUGGGGAUGACGUCAAAUCAUCACGGCCCUUACGUCCUGGGCUACGCACGUGCUACAAUGGUAACGACAGAGGGCAGCCACCACGCGAGUGGGAGCGAAUCCUUAAACGUUAUCUCAGUUCGGAUCGGAGUCUGC